RNAcentral lists this ribosomal RNA (497 nucleotides) under uncultured bacterium. RNAcentral's name for it is "partial 16S ribosomal RNA". It matches the Rfam family "Bacterial small subunit ribosomal RNA", at positions 28 to 507 of the family's 1533-position model. The record is from RNAcentral.
GACGAACGCUGGCGGCGUGCCUAAUACAUGCCAGUUGAGCGAUGACGUCUGGUGCUUGCACCAAUUUGAAGAGCAGCGAACGGGUGAGUAACGCGUGGGGAAUCUGCCUUUGAGCGGGGGACAACAUUUGGAAACGAAUGCUAAUACCGCAUAACAACUUGAAACAUAAGUUUCAAGUUUGAAAGAUGCAAUUGCAUCACUCAAAGAUGAUCCCGCGUUGUAUUAGCUAGCUGGUGAGGUAAAGGCUCACCCAGGCGAUGAUACAUAACCGACCUGAGAGGGGGAUAGGACACGUUGGGCCGGGAACACGACCCAAAAUCCUGGGAGAGGCAGCAGGAGGGAAUCUUCGGGAGUGGAAGAAAGUCUGAACCAGCAGCGCCGCGUGAGUGAAGGAGGUUUUCGGAUCGUAAAACUCUGUUGGUAGAGAAGAACGUUGGUGAGUGUGGAAAGCGCAGAAAGUGACGGUAACUACACAGAAAGGGACGGCUAACUACGUG